AUUCAGUCAACAAUUUCUAGCAGUACUCUUCGUAGCAUUCUAACUCCAAUGCCCUGAUUUUUCUCAUGUGACAGUGACUGGAGAAGUUCCUUCAACUCCACUCCCACAAGCCGCAAAGCAAGCAAAAAACCUUUGCAUCAACAUUCUGCAUUUAUAUUGCAAGUUCUGCACGUCAGCUUCUGCACCGGACAGCUUAUUCUUCCUGAGGCACUUAAAUUGUUACCUUUGUACACCCCUGGUAUAUCUCAUGUUGCUUCGAAAUUUGUACGUAUUGAUUUGACACUAUGCAUUUAUCUCUCUGGACUCUGACCUUUGCUGCAGUCACUCCUACCAAAUAUUUAAUCAUGUUGGCUCAUGCAGUUCGGCAGUUCCAAUUACCUACUCUUGUCAUUUUUAGACUGGACUUUGCUUGUGUUAAUGCAAUUCCAGUUUUAUGUCAAAUUCUCUUAGUGGAGGAACAAAAAUUCUUCUAUAAUUAUUAUCUUGUUUGUGCUUCAAUGAUGGCACCUUGUGUCAUCUAAAAGAACAAAAAGGAGGCCACUUCGCCCAUUAAUAACAGAUGAGACUACUUGUAGGUAAGUCAAUUGAAUCCUCAAGUUUUGUUAUUGAAGCUGCGUAUAUAGAAAGUGAACUUUGGUUUCCUAAAUUUUUAUAUAUUUGAAUUCCUAGAAUUUUUGUAUAAUUAGAGCCAUACUAAAUAGCAAAUUCUGUGACUGUUGGACGUGCAUUAUUUUUCUUUGACUAGGGUUUUCAUAUGGUUUCUAAGAAAUUAUUACUCCAAUUUUUUGCCUAUGUAAUUAUAAUUAGACUUGAUUUUAUGCACAGCAGAGAGUCGUGUCUUCUGGUAUAUUCCCCAUUUUGGGAUUCUGGUAUAUUCCCCAUUUUGGGAUUCUGAUGGAAGAAUUGAUGAUAGGUCAUUUUGGAUCAAUUAUGUUUCCAAUUUAUCUACUCCUUUGACAAUCCCAUUGGUAUACCUUAGGAUGAGAGCUAUUCACAACCUUGAUGAGAAGGUAUGAAUUUGUUCAUGUUGCUCGUUAUAGGUGUUCUUGACGUAUCCCUUGUUUUCUAUCUUAAUGCUGAAUUGUCAGGAGCUGGGUGAUUCCCUCAUUUCCCAAUGGUGAAGAUUGUUUAAUUUAUGUUGGUAGCUCUGUCAAUCCAGAGUAUUCUGACACAUAUUCAUGGUUGAACAUUUUUUAUUUUUCUUGACGUACUUGGCAUCUUUAAACUACUCAAAUGAUGUUGAUAUCAUUUGGGAAUAACAUGCAAACAUGUUCCUUUGCCUUACAAGUUAUCUGGGGAACUUCUCUGCCUAAAGAGUUUUUUUAGGAACUUAGAUGUUCCACAAUGGUAUUCCCACUUAAUCGUCACCGUAGUGCUUAGGGAAAAUGCCUUAAUUUCCAAAUUUUGCCUUUGCAGUAUGUACUGCAGCAAUAUGAUAAUUUAUUGUCAAAGAAGCUGAACCUUAUCAAUUAGAUAAGGCGUCAAAGAUGUUCCUACCUACGUUAUGAAAAUGUUGUUCUUUGAAAAUAACCAGGACUACUUCACUGAAAAAAGUAAUUGUUUUUCUACCAGUAAUUUUUUUUUUCCCUCGAACUGCAGCUUAAAAUUGUGCAGAAAAGGAGAUCCAUCAGGUUAGUGAAUGAAAACCUAUUUAAACUAUCCAAACCGAGGAAAAAUAUGAGGGAAAAAAGAAGAAGCAAAACGAAGCAUGGAGUUGACCUGAUGUCGGACAAAUUUUUGGAUUAUUAUUACAGUAUUUUUUAGUUUGUUGUGGUUUUCUGUAAUCCGAAACUUUUGCUGUUUCAGGGACAACCUUUUUCUCCUACAUGGUAGAGGACAAGACUCCAAGUGGGCUUUCAUACGUCGAGUUUCUAGUACAUAUCCAUCAACUUAUUCAAAGAAAAAUGCCUUGAAAAUUAUACAUUAGAUCAUUAUACAUUAGAUCGAUUUUGAUUACAAUUCUGACUACGUUAAGAGGAUGGCCACACAGGAUUUCAAGAUGGAAUAUUGCGGAUUUUUGCUUUAGUGUGUACUAUAGCCCUAUAGAGAUGCCUUGCAGUAUUAUGGUGGAGAGAGUUUGAUUGUUAAAUAGUUUUCAUAAUAUCCAUUGACAUUUUAAUGCUGUUAAGUGCAAGUAAAAUUAGAAUUUAUUUAUUUUUUCCAAA
RNAcentral lists this long non-coding RNA (2165 nucleotides) under Olea europaea subsp. europaea. The record is from RNAcentral. Lineage: Eukaryota; Viridiplantae; Streptophyta; Magnoliopsida; Lamiales; Oleaceae.